RNAcentral lists this ribosomal RNA (2479 nucleotides) under Staphylococcus aureus VET1245S. RNAcentral's name for it is "bacterial LSU rRNA". It matches the Rfam family "Bacterial large subunit ribosomal RNA", at positions 439 to 2925 of the family's 2925-position model. Lineage: Bacteria; Bacillati; Bacillota; Bacilli; Caryophanales; Staphylococcaceae. The record is from RNAcentral.
GGAAUCUGGGAGGACCAUCUCCUAAGGCUAAAUACUCUCUAGUGACCGAUAGUGAACCAGUACCGUGAGGGAAAGGUGAAAAGCACCCCGGAAGGGGAGUGAAACAGAACCUGAAACCGUGUGCUUACAAGUAGUCAGAGCCCGUUAAUGGGUGAUGGCGUGCCUUUUGUAGAAUGAUCCGGCGAGUUACGAUUUGAUGCAAGGUUAAGCAGUAAAUGUGGAGCCGUAGCGAAAGCGAGUCUGAAUAGGGCGUUUAGUAUUUGGUCGUAGACCCGAAACCAGGUGAUCUACCCUUGGUCAGGUUGAAGUUCAGGUAACACUGAAUGGAGGACCGAACCGACUUACGUUGAAAAGUGAGCGGAUGAACUGAGGGUAGCGGAGAAAUUCCAAUCGAACCUGGAGAUAGCUGGUUCUCUCCGAAAUAGCUUUAGGGCUAGCCUCAAGUGAUGAUUAUUGGAGGUAGAGCACUGUUUGGACGAGGGGCCCCUCUCGGGUUACCGAAUUCAGACAAACUCCGAAUGCCAAUUAAUUUAACUUGGGAGUCAGAACAUGGGUGAUAAGGUCCGUGUUCGAAAGGGAAACAGCCCAGACCACCAGCUAAGGUCCCAAAAUAUAUGUUAAGUGGAAAAGGAUGUGGCGUUGCCCAGACAACUAGGAUGUUGGCUUAGAAGCAGCCAUCAUUUAAAGAGUGCGUAAUAGCUCACUAGUCGAGUGACACUGCGCCGAAAAUGUACCGGGGCUAAACAUAUUACCGAAGCUGUGGAUUGUCCUUUGGACAAUGGUAGGAGAGCGUUCUAAGGGCGUUGAAGCAUGAUCGUAAGGACAUGUGGAGCGCUUAGAAGUGAGAAUGCCGGUGUGAGUAGCGAAAGACGGGUGAGAAUCCCGUCCACCGAUUGACUAAGGUUUCCAGAGGAAGGCUCGUCCGCUCUGGGUUAGUCGGGUCCUAAGCUGAGGCCGACAGGCGUAGGCGAUGGAUAACAGGUUGAUAUUCCUGUACCACCUAUAAUCGUUUUAAUCGAUGGGGGGACGCAGUAGGAUAGGCGAAGCGUGCGAUUGGAUUGCACGUCUAAGCAGUAAGGCUGAGUAUUAGGCAAAUCCGGUACUCGUUAAGGCUGAGCUGUGAUGGGGAGAAGACAUUGUGUCUUCGAGUCGUUGAUUUCACACUGCCGAGAAAAGCCUCUAGAUAGAAAAUAGGUGCCCGUACCGCAAACCGACACAGGUAGUCAAGAUGAGAAUUCUAAGGUGAGCGAGCGAACUCUCGUUAAGGAACUCGGCAAAAUGACCCCGUAACUUCGGGAGAAGGGGUGCUCUUUAGGGUUAACGCCCAGAAGAGCCGCAGUGAAUAGGCCCAAGCGACUGUUUAUCAAAAACACAGGUCUCUGCUAAACCGUAAGGUGAUGUAUAGGGGCUGACGCCUGCCCGGUGCUGGAAGGUUAAGAGGAGUGGUUAGCUUCUGCGAAGCUACGAAUCGAAGCCCCAGUAAACGGCGGCCGUAACUAUAACGGUCCUAAGGUAGCGAAAUUCCUUGUCGGGUAAGUUCCGACCCGCACGAAAGGCGUAACGAUUUGGGCACUGUCUCAACGAGAGACUCGGUGAAAUCAUAGUACCUGUGAAGAUGCAGGUUACCCGCGACAGGACGGAAAGACCCCGUGGAGCUUUACUGUAGCCUGAUAUUGAAAUUCGGCACAGCUUGUACAGGAUAGGUAGGAGCCUUUGAAACGUGAGCGCUAGCUUACGUGGAGGCGCUGGUGGGAUACUACCCUAGCUGUGUUGGCUUUCUAACCCGCACCACUUAUCGUGGUGGGAGACAGUGUCAGGCGGGCAGUUUGACUGGGGCGGUCGCCUCCUAAAAGGUAACGGAGGCGCUCAAAGGUUCCCUCAGAAUGGUUGGAAAUCAUUCAUAGAGUGUAAAGGCAUAAGGGAGCUUGACUGCGAGACCUACAAGUCGAGCAGGGUCGAAAGACGGACUUAGUGAUCCGGUGGUUCCGCAUGGAAGGGCCAUCGCUCAACGGAUAAAAGCUACCCCGGGGAUAACAGGCUUAUCUCCCCCAAGAGUUCACAUCGACGGGGAGGUUUGGCACCUCGAUGUCGGCUCAUCGCAUCCUGGGGCUGUAGUCGGUCCCAAGGGUUGGGCUGUUCGCCCAUUAAAGCGGUACGCGAGCUGGGUUCAGAACGUCGUGAGACAGUUCGGUCCCUAUCCGUCGUGGGCGUAGGAAAUUUGAGAGGAGCUGUCCUUAGUACGAGAGGACCGGGAUGGACAUACCUCUGGUGUACCAGUUGUCGUGCCAACGGCAUAGCUGGGUAGCUAUGUGUGGACGGGAUAAGUGCUGAAAGCAUCUAAGCAUGAAGCCCCCCUCAAGAUGAGAUUUCCCAACUUCGGUUAUAAGAUCCCUCAAAGAUGAUGAGGUUAAUAGGUUCGAGGUGGAAGCAUGGUGACAUGUGGAGCUGACGAAUACUAAUCGAUCGAAGACUUAAUCAA